Molecule: ribosomal RNA, 540 nt
Filed under: uncultured bacterium
Lineage: Bacteria
Description: bacterial SSU rRNA
Rfam family: Bacterial small subunit ribosomal RNA
Source: RNAcentral
UAGUCCACGCCGUAAACGAUGGAUACUAGGUGUCCGGGAUAUUAACCUCCUGGGUACUACAGUUAACGCGUUAAGUAUCCCGCCUGGGGAGUACGGUCGCAAGGCUAAAACUCAAAGGAAUUGACGGGGGCCCGCACAAGCGGUGGAGUAUGUGGUUUAAUUCGAAGCAACGCGCAGAACCUUACCUACCCUUAACAUUUCACGACGUAUACAGAGAUGCAUAUUUCUCUUCGGAGACGUGAGGAUAGGUGCUGCAUGGCUGUCGUCAGCUCGUGUCGUAAGAUGUCUGGUUAAGUCCAAUAACGAGCGCAACCCUUAUCCUUAGUUACCAGCAUUAAGUUGGGGACUCUAGGGAGACUGCCGGUGUUAAACCGGAGGAAGGCGGGGAUGACGUCAAGUCCUCAUGGCCCUUACGGGUAGGGCUACACACGUACUACAAUGGCAGAUACAAACCGUUUGCGAAGCCGCGAGGUGGAGCCAAUCCCAGAAAGUGCGUCCCAGUUCGGAUUGGAGUCUGGAACUCGACUCCAUGAAGCGGAA